AAAUUGAAGAGUUUGAUCAUGGCUCAGAUUGAACGCUGGCGGCAGGCCUAACACAUGCAAGUCGAACGGUAACAGGAAGCAGCUUGCUGCUUUGCUGACGAGUGGCGGACGGGUGAGUAAUGUCUGGGAAACUGCCUGAUGGAGGGGGAUAACUACUGGAAACGGUGGCUAAUACCGCAUAACGUCGCAAGACCAAAGAGGGGGACCUUCGGGCCUCUUGCCAUCAGAUGUGCCCAGAUGGGAUUAGCUUGUUGGUGAGGUAACGGCUCACCAAGGCGACGAUCCCUAGCUGGUCUGAGAGGAUGACCAGCCACACUGGAACUGAGACACGGUCCAGACUCCUACGGGAGGCAGCAGUGGGGAAUAUUGCACAAUGGGCGCAAGCCUGAUGCAGCCAUGCCGCGUGUAUGAAGAAGGCCUUCGGGUUGUAAAGUACUUUCAGCGGGGAGGAAGGUGUUGUGGUUAAUAACCGCAGCAAUUGACGUUACCCGCAGAAGAAGCACCGGCUAACUCCGUGCCAGCAGCCGCGGUAAUACGGAGGGUGCAAGCGUUAAUCGGAAUUACUGGGCGUAAAGCGCACGCAGGCGGUCUGUCAAGUCGGAUGUGAAAUCCCCGGGCUCAACCUGGGAACUGCAUUCGAAACUGGCAGGCUUGAGUCUUGUAGAGGGGGGUAGAAUUCCAGGUGUAGCGGUGAAAUGCGUAGAGAUCUGGAGGAAUACCGGUGGCGAAGGCGGCCCCCUGGACAAAGACUGACGCUCAGGUGCGAAAGCGUGGGGAGCAAACAGGAUUAGAUACCCUGGUAGUCCACGCCGUAAACGAUGUCUACUUGGAGGUUGUGCCCUUGAGGCGUGGCUUCCGGAGCUAACGCGUUAAGUAGACCGCCUGGGGAGUACGGCCGCAAGGUUAAAACUCAAAUGAAUUGACGGGGGCCCGCACAAGCGGUGGAGCAUGUGGUUUAAUUCGAUGCAACGCGAAGAACCUUACCUGGUCUUGACAUCCACAGAACUUUCCAGAGAUGGAUUGGUGCCUUCGGGAACUGUGAGACAGGUGCUGCAUGGCUGUCGUCAGCUCGUGUUGUGAAAUGUUGGGUUAAGUCCCGCAACGAGCGCAACCCUUAUCCUUUGUUGCCAGCGGUCCGGCCGGGAACUCAAAGGAGACUGCCAGUGAUAAACUGGAGGAAGGUGGGGAUGACGUCAAGUCAUCAUGGCCCUUACGACCAGGGCUACACACGUGCUACAAUGGCGCAUACAAAGAGAAGCGACCUCGCGAGAGCAAGCGGACCUCAUAAAGUGCGUCGUAGUCCGGAUUGGAGUCUGCAACUCGACUCCAUGAAGUCGGAAUCGCUAGUAAUCGUGGAUCAGAAUGCCACGGUGAAUACGUUCCCGGGCCUUGUACACACCGCCCGUCACACCAUGGGAGUGGGUUGCAAAAGAAGUAGGUAGCUUAACCUUCGGGAGGGCGCUUACCACUUUGUGAUUCAU
RNAcentral lists this ribosomal RNA (1481 nucleotides) under Salmonella enterica subsp. enterica serovar Javiana. RNAcentral's name for it is "bacterial SSU rRNA". It matches the Rfam family "Bacterial small subunit ribosomal RNA". The record is from RNAcentral. Lineage: Bacteria; Pseudomonadati; Pseudomonadota; Gammaproteobacteria; Enterobacterales; Enterobacteriaceae.